GACGAACGCUGGCGGCGUGCUUAACACAUGCAAGUCGAACGGAAAGGCCCUGCUUUUGUGGGGUGCUCGAGUGGCGAACGGGUGAGUAACACGUGAGUAACCUGCCCUUGACUUUGGGAUAACUUCAGGAAACUGGGCUAAUACCGGAUAGGAGCUCCUGCUGCAUGGCGGGGGUUGGAAAGUUUCGGCGGUUGGGGAUGGACUCGCGGCUUAUCAGCUUGUUGGUGGGGUAGUGGCUUACCAAGGCUUUGACGGGUAGCCGGCCUGAGAGGGUGACCGGCCACAUUGGGACUGAGAUACGGCCCAGACUCCUACGGGAGGCAGCAGUGGGGAAUAUUGCACAAUGGGCGGAAGCCUGAUGCAGCAACGCCGCGUGCGGGAUGACGGCCUUCGGGUUGUAAACCGCUUUCGCCUGUGACGAAGCGUGAGUGACGGUAAUGGGUAAAGAAGCACCGGCUAACUACGUG
RNAcentral lists this ribosomal RNA (467 nucleotides) under uncultured bacterium. RNAcentral's name for it is "partial 16S ribosomal RNA". It matches the Rfam family "Bacterial small subunit ribosomal RNA", at positions 28 to 507 of the family's 1533-position model. The record is from RNAcentral.